AUGUCGGCACGACAAGAAUCGAAACCCGAUUCAUUACACGGCGCAGCUAGGACUAUGUCUUGUCUCAUCUUGCUGACAUAUCCAGUUAAAUUUUCAACAAUCCGGCUUCUGGUUCCUUUCGUCUGCUUCAGUAGAAUGGGGACGACGAUUCUACUCAAAUGUAUACAAUUCUUCUUGUUUUGUAUCUACUGCCGAGCCCGGAAGCGAAUCAUCCUCUCGAGCCAGUUCCCAGAAGUAGUUAACUCGGCCGGGUUCGAGGACAAGACGCCGCUCAUCUUCUUCUUCCUGACGUCGGCAGAGCGGCACUGGGUCGUGACGGCGCCACGCGGCUUCGGCAAGCGCCUCAACACAGACAUGCUCCACACGUUCUUGGAGCGCCCCUUGGGCCCCGACGGGUGCGACGACGCCCCGCGCCGCACCCGCCUCGAGCGCCUCUUCCGCGGCGGGCGCCUCGGCGUGGUGCGGCAUCUCCGGGGUGACGUCGCCGACGCUUUCCUCGCCCGCCCGGUUCUCCGCCUUGAUAUGGCCGCCCUCGACGUCUCCACCUACGCCGCAUUUCGUCGCUCCUUCACCGACCUCCUACACCGCGAGUUCCGCAGGCACCAGUACCUGGUCACCGCCAACCGGACACCCACGCUCUUCGCCGACCCGUCGCGCCUCCUCCACGCAGGCUCCGCCGCCCGAUUCGCCCGCCUCCUCCGUGCCUACCACGGCAGACAGGUGAUCUUCUUCCUGGAGGAGCACGACCAACCGUUAAUGUCUGCGCUGGAGGAUCCGCGCUGCUCGGACGGGGACCUUCGCAAGAUGGUGGCGUUCUUGGGCCGGCUCGUCAAAGGCAUGAUGAACUGCGGUCACGUGGACCGCUCUCUCGUGACUGGCUGCUCCCUCCUGGGUCGUACCUACACCCGCGUGGCCAACGGCCUCGUCUACCUCCGUAACUUUGACCACCCGGCCAUCGCCAAGUACUACGGCUUCUCCGCGGCGCACGUGGAGCGCCUCGCCACCGCCUUCCGCCGGGGCAAAGAAGUAGACAGAAUGAGACAGUGGUACGACCGCUACCGCGUCGAGGGCACCUAUAGCGUCUUCCGCCCUCUUUCGGUCCUCCGCUACCUCGAGCACGACAGGUUCCGCCCAUAUCCCGACCCUCACCCGCUACCGCUGCUGGCCGCUUUCCAGUUCGACGAGAUCUCUGAGCUGGUCGAGAGGUCACUGACGCAGCUCUCGCGCCUCGAGGCCGUCACCGAUAACACGUUUUUGAGUGUUGACGAGUUGGUGGCCCUGAAGAGGUACCUGCGGCGCCACGAAUUGGACCCCCGCUGGGCGGAGGUGUAUCCCCGCUGGGUCCUCCAGCACCUCCUGGAUCACGGAUACUACACAGUCAACAAUACGGUCGACGCCGCCGCCGCAGUGGACAUCAGAGUGACCAACCGCGAAAGGGCGUUGCAGCUUAGGAACGCGCUGUACACGCGGACCUUCUUAAAGCGCAGAUACCAAAUCACGGAUGGUGAGAUGGAAGCGUACGUAACGGCCCUCGCGCGGCUGACCCAGGACCGGCGCGGCGCGAUCUCUUUGUGGAGUUCAUGA
This 1584-nucleotide long non-coding RNA is filed under the name Bemisia tabaci. RNAcentral describes it as "lncRNA ENSSSA1UGG013764". The record is from RNAcentral. Lineage: Eukaryota; Metazoa; Arthropoda; Insecta; Hemiptera; Aleyrodidae.